This is an RNA transcript of Carassius gibelio (silver crucian carp), 2445 nucleotides long. RefSeq lists it as uncharacterized. The record is from RefSeq and is a predicted model, not a curated record. Lineage: Eukaryota; Metazoa; Chordata; Actinopteri; Cypriniformes; Cyprinidae. The transcript is spliced from 8 exons.
CAGGCGAAAGGAACGUGCGCUCUCACAGUGUUUUCAAAAUGGCACGUCUAAAACGUGUGCUCACUUCACAGGGCAGGAGUCUGUAAUGCUUUGUCCGCUAUAUAUGGGCUAUUACGGUAAGGCAUGGCUUCCGCAAACAUAUGUUUUUCUUUUUUUCCACUCGGUCGUAUAGACUGAUGUUAUGUCGUUUAAGGGACACAUUUUAAUUGUAUGUUGUUAAGCUUUAUUGAAGAAAUGGGUCUGAUUCACUCUUUAUUAUAGAUCAGUGCUGUGGUACAGUUUACAUGAAUGUUGUUGAUUUUAGCUGCUAUCUACCUCUGUAGCACCAUGUAGCACCUAGAUGACCAAAAUGGCUCGUAGAAUUCUUGUACAGUGCAGGAUAACUUUUAACGACAGCUGUCGUCAAAUUUUUUCAAUGUUAAACCCGGACCUCGAUAUUAUGGAAGCCACAAUUAUAAGAUUGGAAACGGUGUUGCUCAGUUUACGCGGGAUACCAUUUGGGACUACUUCUUUGCAAGAACUCAUCGGCCUUCUCUCAGCAUUCAUUCAGGUCCUGCGAGACCAGGCCAGUAAUCAAGAACGUGUAAGUGGGUAUCAAGUACCAUUUAUUCAUGAUGGCAAAGGUCCCCCAUCCUAUGAUAUAACCAGGGCACAACUAGAACUUCUGGUGGGGUCUGGAUUUACUUCAAGGCAAAUUGCUGAAAUCCUUGGUGUGUCACAAUCCACUGUGAGACGGCGACUAAGAAUCUUUCAUCUCAACCGUUCAAGACGCUAUGCACAGAUUACGGAUCAGGAGCUUGACAGCAUGGUCAUUGAUGCUGUCGGUCAAAAUGAUCUAAUUGGACCUGAAUCUGUGAGGGCUCAGUUAAGCUCAGCAGAUGUGCUUGUACAGAGGAGGAGGGUGAGGGCGAGUAUGCUUCGAACCAAUCCAGAUGCAGCUGUUUUGAGAGCUACAUCACAAAGACUACAGCGCAGAACAUAUCGCGUAGCUGGCCCAAACUCUCUCUGGCACCUAGACGGUUAUCACAAGCUCAUAAGGUGGCGGAUUGUGAUUCAUGGAUCGAUUGAUGGCUACAGUCGGCUUGUGGUUUUCCUUGUUGCAUCCAACAACAAUCGCAGCAGUACAGUCCUGCAACAUUUCAGCACAGCAGUCACCCAGUAUGGUGUGCCAUCACAAGUGCGUUGUGAUUAUGGUGGUGAGAACGUUGAUGUUUGUCUCUUCAUGAAUGUCUUCCAUGGAAUGGGCACCAGGAGUGUUUUAAGAGGUCAGAGUACACACAAUCAAAGAAUCGAGAGGUUUUGGGGUGAUCUUUGGUCUGGCAUGAUCAAUGUGUACCAUAGCCUCUUUACAUUUCUGGAGUCUGAGGGGAUCCUUGAUCCUGCAAAUGAACUGCACAUGUGGGCUUUGCAGUAUGUGUAUCUCCCGAGAAUAAACAGGGAUCUCAGAAGUUUCCGCCGUCGUUGGAAUAAUCAUGGCCUGCGCACUGAGGGAUUUAGUACUCCAAUACAGCUGUUUGUCCGAGCAUGCCUGCGGUUGCAGAACAGGCCCUUAAGAGCCAUUCAGGAUGUAUUUGAAGGACCUGUCAAUGCCCCACAACUUCAGGGUGAUGUUCUACCACAGGGGCCAGAACCAGCAAUGGCACAAGAAAUGGACACACCUGAGCACCAUAAUGCCGAUCCUCUAUGGAGAGAGGACAUUAAUGUCCCUGAAAGUCUGUUCAAUCUAAAUGAAGAUGAUGUUCAUCAACUCCAAUGCUUGGUGGAUCCUCUGGGUGUCUCCAGGGAUGGCAUGGCUGUUGACCUUCUUCAAAUGACAAUUAUGUUCCUGCAGUCUGUGGUUCAUCCAUAGACUGUUAAUAUUAUAGCUUUGUGACAUUUUUUUUUAGUAGUUCUGGUUGCGAGAAUUCAGAAAUGAGACAAAUCCAAGACCUACAAGGAGGAGAAGGAGGAGGCCCAACCCCGCCGCGCGUACGAUAAGGGUACGCUUGGGAUUCAUUGAAGAGGGGACAAAUCGUCAAGUUGCUCGAGAGAGCCAGGGUAUUGUAAAUCUGUAUGUGCCUUUGGACCAGACAGAGGAGGAGUUUGUCAGUGAAAUAAGGCGUGUUUUCCCAAUGCUUGGUGAUAGAACAUUCGAGCUUUGUCGGAUGGAUGCCCAUCAUAACAUCAUCAUCCUGAAUUUGCAUGGCAUCACACCACGUGACAUAAAAGAGUGCCUUGAAUUGAAUAGGUCUGCGGUUUACGUCAGAAUCAAGGCUGAGGACCAACCUACUUUUACUGUGCACAACCAGGCACCCUUACCUGUAACGCCAAAUUCCACUCCCUUUACCAGACAAAGACAGUCAGACUCUCUGUUACCUGACAACAGCCAUGUGCCCCCCACAGAAGAAAGACCAGUGUACCUGUCACCAGGAAGGAUACCCUUAAGCACUGCACAGCAAACUAGAA